Molecule: ribosomal RNA, 305 nt
Filed under: uncultured bacterium
Lineage: Bacteria
Description: bacterial SSU rRNA
Rfam family: Bacterial small subunit ribosomal RNA
Source: RNAcentral
UGGAUCCUACGGGGCGCAGCAGUGGGGAAUAUUGCACAAUGGGGGAAACCCUGAUGCAGCGACGCCGCGUGAGUGAAGAAGUAUUUCGGUAUGUAAAGCUCUAUCAGCAGGGAAGAAGAAAGACGGUACCUGACUAAGAAGCCCCGGCUAACUACGUGCCAGCAGCCGCGGUAAUACGUAGGGAGCGAGCGUUGUCCGGAAUUACUGGGCGUAAAGGGCGCGUAGGCGGGAACUUAAGUUAGAUGUGAAAACUCCGGGCUUAACCUGGAGACUGCAUUUAAAACUGGGUUUCUUGAGGGCAGGAG